RNAcentral lists this small RNA (564 nucleotides) under Pongo abelii (Sumatran orangutan). Its description in RNAcentral is "processed transcript". Lineage: Eukaryota; Metazoa; Chordata; Mammalia; Primates; Hominidae. The record is from RNAcentral.
AACAUCUUUGAUGAUUCACCCUGGGAAGUCACAUUCGCCACUUCCACAGUGCCAUAUGAGUUACACAUGUCAGCCCUAUUCAGGGAUGGUGUCAUCUUUGCAAAAAGACAUGUUAGCAAAGGAUGAGCAAGUUCAACAACUAAAGGAAGAGGUCAGUCACCUAAAAAGUCAGAACAAGGACAAGGACCACCAGCUGGAAGCCCUUGGCUCUAGACGAAAUGGGAAUAACAAAAUCAGUUUUGAGAAGUGAGAGGCUGGUUUUACAUUGUACGCUUGCGCCUCUGUGCCUGGUUAGCCCGCCUCACCAAGCCCUCUGCAUCCAUCCCCCGAGCAGGGUUACCGCCUGGAUUACAUGUGUUGUCACUGUUUCAGGUCUGCCUUCUUCUCCAGGCCGCACCUGGCGUUCAUCAGCACGUGGGCUCCUAGUGACCAAGGGUAUUGCUCAUGUGAACAUCCGAAUGACUGUCUUUGUUUUUCAAAUUACAUGUGCUGUGUUAAUUUUAGAAUAAAAAGUAGAUAAAACUGGAAAGCAAAAUUAAAGAGAGAAGAGAAAUGCCACUGCAA